GGCCGGGUGUGGUGGCUCAUGCCUGUAAUCCUAGCACUUUGGGAGGCCGAGGCAGGCGAAUCAUGAGGUCAGGAGAUCUAGACCAUCCUGGCCAACAUGGUGAAACCCCGUCUCUACU
Molecule: unclassified non-coding RNA, 118 nt
Filed under: Homo sapiens (human)
Lineage: Eukaryota; Metazoa; Chordata; Mammalia; Primates; Hominidae
Source: RNAcentral